Molecule: long non-coding RNA, 1620 nt
Organism: Homo sapiens (human)
Lineage: Eukaryota; Metazoa; Chordata; Mammalia; Primates; Hominidae
Exons: 8
Source: RefSeq, a predicted model, not a curated record
AAAUUAUUUUAGGCAUGGGAUCAAAGAAGAAACUUCUUUGUAGCAGCAUCCCAGUACUAGGACUUUUUGUCUCUGCAUGGAAAUCUGAAUAUAUUUAUAUGUUGGAGUGACAUCUCUACAGGAAGCCUAGAGACCUAACUGUUUGCUACAUGUCACCAAAGUUAAAGUGGCUACCUUAAUGAGCAGCCAGGAUGCCAUCAUCUCCGACCUGAAUGACAAUAACCUCCAAACCAGCCUUUGUAUACUCCUUCCUGCUGCUCUGCAGUCCACUUCCACAGACCAGCCAACUGAAUCUCCUUAUAGAUUCAUAAUGGCCAUCAGCACAAAGAUGUUUUAUCUGCAGUCAACCAGUCAUGUUUCAUGAUGGCAUCAAAAUGUGCUGGAAAAGGUCAGAGAAAAUCAUCAUCAUAAAGUGAAGUGAUUUUCUUCUUUAUGAGCUCCUGAUGUAAACAGACUGAUGAGCACAACACAAUCCUUACUCACCCACAUGACAUCAUACACAAUCACAGCUAAAUGUUUCUAUCUGUCAAAGCCUGAAGAGUGACUACCAGAUUGUUGCCUGAUUGCUAAGAAUUGAUGCUUGUUCAACUGGGAUCUAUCCAGAGAAACAUAAUCCACUUCAAGAAUUUUCUGAAAAGGGAAUCUAAUGCAAGGAAUUAAUUGCAAAGAUGAUGCAAUAUCUGAGAACGAUAGAUUUGACAGUUUGGUCUACAUUUCAAGGCUGGUUAGAUGGGAGGUAUGUCCUGGUAUAUUAGUUAAUUUAGGUAUAUCUUACUGAUUUACAUUGCAUGAUUUAUCAGAUGCUAUUGACUCAUUCAAGUAAAUACAUUUAAAAAUUAUACCUUUUGCUCAUACUAGUAAUUGGGUCAGUCAUGCUCUUGAAGGAGGCAUACUGGGAGCCAUACAUUACCAGAGGCAGAGGAUUCAAUGGAUGUUUUCUGUUUUCUCUUCUUCGUGCUCUGUAAUUGAGACACAGAACAAAGGAGGAAGACUAAGUGCUCUGCCUUAACUCAGGCCAGGCUGUGGGCGCAAGUGCACCAACGGCUUUGAGACUAACACACAGCUCAGAACAAGAUUCCAGAGGUGACCAGAGACUGACUAAAAUGGGCCCAAGUCUUGAGAUUGACAUUGACUCCAGAAUGCCAAAGUACUACUACUUCACCAUGAGAAAUUUCAUCUGUCACAAAGCCCAGAGUAUUCAGUUCAACAUAAUUAGCAUCUUCUCUUCUAAUGAGGACAACUAUCUGGAAAGCCAAAUUACAAACAGAAGAAAUUUAGAAGACCUUCCCCAAAGUCGUUAGUGAGGAUAGCCAGAGGAACGUUGCUCAUGUAGCCACUGAAUGGAAAUAACCCUUUGGCCAAGACUCUCCUCUGGAGACCGUAAAUUGUGUGAUGGCAAAGUUCUUUAUCUGAUCCCUUUUGUGUGUGUACUCCACUGUUUAUCUUCUAUAGAGAGCUUCAUUUCUUUCUCUUUAGCUGUAUACUUUUAUACUCUUGUGUGAACCACAGCCUUAAUACUGAUAGCUGCUUGUUAAAUACACUUACAAUGUACUAACUGACCAGAUCACCUGAUUAAAAGAAAUAAUUAUUUUUCAUUAUAUUCUCUUAACUCAGUGCUUU